Molecule: ribosomal RNA, 406 nt
Filed under: uncultured bacterium
Lineage: Bacteria
Description: partial 16S ribosomal RNA
Rfam family: Bacterial small subunit ribosomal RNA
Source: RNAcentral
AUUGAACGCUGGCGGCAGGCCUAACACAUGCAAGUCGAACGAGUGGCGGGAGGGUUAGUAAUGUCUGGGAAUCUGCCUGAGGGAUGGGGAUCAGUACUGGGAACUGUAGCUAAUAACGCAUACCAUCAGAUAUGUCCGGGUGGGAAUAUCUUGUUGGUGGGGUAACGGCUAACCAAGGCCACGAUCCCUAGCUGGGCUAAGAGGAUGACCAGUCACACUGGAACGGAGACACGGUCCAGACUCCUACGGGAGGCAGCAGUGGGGAAUAUUGCACAAUGGGCGCAAGCCUGAUGCAGCCAUGCCGCGUGUAUGAAGAAGGUCUUCGGGUUGUAAAGUACUUUAAGCGGGGAGGCGUUACCCGCAGAAUAAGCACCGGCUAACUCCGUGCCAGCCGCCGCGGUAAUUC